GGAAGACCAAGGGUUCCUGUCCAACGUUAAUCGGGGCAGGGUGAGUCGACCCCUAAGGCGAGGCCGAAAGGCGUAGUCGAUGGGAAACGGGUUAAUAUUCCCGUACUUGGUGUUACUGCGAAGGGGGGACGGAGAAGGCUAUGUUGGCCGGGCGACGGUUGUCCCGGUUUAAGCGUGUAGGUGUGUGUUCCAGGUAAAUCCGGUUCACUUUAACACUGAGGCGUGAUGACGAGGCACUACGGUGCUGAAGCAACAAAUGCCCUGCUUCCAGGAAAAGCCUCUAAGCAUCAGGUAACAUCAAAUCGUACCCCAAACCGACACAGGUGGUCAGGUAGAGAAUACCAAGGCGCUUGAGAGAACUCGGGUGAAGGAACUAGGCAAAAUGGUGCCGUAACUUCGGGAGAAGGCACGCUGACACGUAGGUGAAGUGAUUUACUCAUGGAGCUGAAGUCAGUCGAAGAUACCAGCUGGCUGCAACUGUUUAUUAAAAACACAGCACUGUGCAAACACGAAAGUGGACGUAUACGGUGUGACGCCUGCCCGGUGCCGGAAGGUUAAUUGAUGGGGUCAGCGCAAGCGAAGCUCCUGAUCGAAGCCCCGGUAAACGGCGGCCGUAACUAUAACGGUCCUAAGGUAGCGAAAUUCCUUGUCGGGUAAGUUCCGACCUGCACGAAUGGCGUAAUGAUGGCCAGGCUGUCUCCACCCGAGACUCAGUGAAAUUGAACUCGCUGUGAAGAUGCAGUGUACCCGCGGCAAGACGGAAAGACCCCGUGAACCUUUACUAUAGCUUGACACUGAACAUUGAGCCUUGAUGUGUAGGAUAGGUGGGAGGCUUUGAAGUGUGGACGCCAGUCUGCAUGGAGCCGACCUUGAAAUACCACCCUUUAAUGUUUGAUGUUCUAACGUGGACCCGUAAUCCGGGUUGCGGACAGUGUCUGGUGGGUAGUUUGACUGGGGCGGUCUCCUCCUAAAGAGUAACGGAGGAGCACGAAGGUUGGCUAAUCCUGGUCGGACAUCAGGAGGUUAGUGCAAUGGCAUAAGCCAGCUUGACUGCGAGCGUGACGGCGCGAGCAGGUGCGAAAGCAGGUCAUAGUGAUCCGGUGGUUCUGAAUGGAAGGGCCAUCGCUCAACGGAUAAAAGGUACUCCGGGGAUAACAGGCUGAUACCGCCCAAGAGUUCAUAUCGACGGCGGUGUUUGGCACCUCGAUGUCGGCUCAUCACAUCCUGGGGCUGAAGUAGGUCCCAAGGGUAUGGCUGUUCGCCAUUUAAAGUGGUACGCGAGCUGGGUUUAGAACGUCGUGAGACAGUUCGGUCCCUAUCUGCCGUGGGCGCUGGAGAACUGAGGGGGGCUGCUCCUAGUACGAGAGGACCGGAGUGGACGCAUCACUGGUGUUCGGGUUGUCAUGCCAAUGGCACUGCCCGGUAGCUAAAUGCGGAAGAGAUAAGUGCUGAAAGCAUCUAAGCACGAAACUUGCCCCGAGAUGAGUUCUCCCUGAGACUUAGAGUCUCCUGAAGGAACGUUGAAGACGACGACGUUGAUAGGCCGGGUGUGUAAGCGCAGCGAUGCGUUGAGCUAACCGGUACUAAUGAACCGUGAGGCUUAACCUU
Molecule: ribosomal RNA, 1608 nt
Filed under: Salmonella enterica subsp. enterica serovar Agona str. 33.A.05
Lineage: Bacteria; Pseudomonadati; Pseudomonadota; Gammaproteobacteria; Enterobacterales; Enterobacteriaceae
Description: bacterial LSU rRNA
Rfam family: Bacterial large subunit ribosomal RNA
Source: RNAcentral